GCACCAUAUGAAGUGCUGAGGUGGAUGCAAAAUAAACAGGUGACUCUGCUUCUCCGGACAGUUGAUUUUAUCAUGGCUGCCCCAGCAUACUUACAGAUGAGUGUCCACAGCUUGAAGGCCAGACCAGACCAUCUGGUACACAUUGAAAGAUCGAAGUGUCUUCGGAUUUGCAUGGAGGAAGACAUUUUAGCAUGGCGUGUGUUUAACGCAGCCUUGCAGAUGAGAAACCAGCACUUCCCAGUUUACAGUUUUCUGUGAUCUCUCUCCUCCCUUCCUCCAUUCCCACCUCCCCCUCCCCCGACCCACCAGAAGAACCUAGGUAAUAAAUCAACGAAUUAUUCA
Long non-coding RNA from Ornithorhynchus anatinus (platypus), 342 nucleotides. RefSeq lists it as uncharacterized. The record is from RefSeq and is a predicted model, not a curated record. NCBI's taxonomy places the organism in Eukaryota, Metazoa, Chordata, Mammalia, Monotremata, Ornithorhynchidae. The transcript has 3 exons.